UUGGUGAUCAGCCUUCUUUAUGGUCCAGCUCUCACUUCCAUACAUCACCUUGCCAACAAAGGUCCGUAUAGUUAAAGCCAUGGUUUUCCCAGUAGUGAUGUAUGGAAGUGAGAGCUGGACCAUAAAGAAGGCUGAUCGCCGA
Non-coding RNA from Podarcis lilfordi (Lilford's wall lizard), 142 nucleotides. The record is from the annotation of a GenBank genome assembly. NCBI's taxonomy places the organism in Eukaryota, Metazoa, Chordata, Lepidosauria, Squamata, Lacertidae.